CUGCGUAAUACGGUCCAGGGACUGGGGUAUGACGUAGAGUGAAAGGGUUAAGUGGAAUUACUGGUCGGAAAGGGUUCGUAGGGGUUGUUUUAUGUCGGCGGGUAAAUGCCCGGGCUCAACCUGUGAAGGGCAGGGGAUACUGGGGAGCUAGAGUUGGAUAGAGGAUGGUGGAAUGCCCGGUGUAGCGGUGAAAUGCGUAGAGAUCGGGAGGAACAGCAGUGGCGAAGGCGGCCAUCUGGAUCAACACUGACGCUGAGGCACGAAAGCGUGGGGAGCAAACAGGAUUAGAUACCCUGGUAUC
Molecule: ribosomal RNA, 301 nt
Filed under: uncultured Thermotoga sp.
Lineage: Bacteria; Thermotogati; Thermotogota; Thermotogae; Thermotogales; Thermotogaceae
Description: bacterial SSU rRNA
Rfam family: Bacterial small subunit ribosomal RNA
Source: RNAcentral